Long non-coding RNA from Daphnia magna, 1885 nucleotides. RefSeq lists it as uncharacterized. The transcript is spliced from 2 exons. The record is from RefSeq and is a predicted model, not a curated record. Lineage: Eukaryota; Metazoa; Arthropoda; Branchiopoda; Diplostraca; Daphniidae.
GGUCGACGUUUGAAACUGUUAAAUCUGUUAUGCAGUUGGGUCCCUAAUUGUUGAAGUUGAAGUUGUUAAAUCUGUUGGAAUGGAUCUAAACAAAUUACAAUUAAAAACCAUUUCUUUUAAGUCGAGAAUUAUAUCAAAUUUCAAGACGUUCAGUGAGCAAUCGUACUUAAAAAAUAUGCUGAUACAUAAUAUGGAGCUUAGUUGAAGAUGUCUCAACAGAAAACAUGAGUAAGGGAAAAGAACUCGGGAACCAUGCUCGUGGGAUUCGAUCGUGCUAAAGUGUGUAUUUUAUUCAAGAUUAAACUGGAACGGUUUUUAGUAAGGGGAAAAUGAAGCUCACCCAACCAGACAGGCUGUGUGUGAGAAAUCAUGACUACCGAGGAAUCUGUUGUUGACUACAAUCUUUACCAGUGCCAGGAAUCUAUGUUAUUGAUGUAAGUGACUUUUGUGUUUAAUUCAAGUUUUCAACAUUUUCCCAUCCAUGUUCAUAGCAUUUCUUUGACCUGACAUUCAUUCAGUACUAUAUGCCACAGUGAUAUUUUAUAUUCUAAAGUGUAAAUUGUAACCAAAAAGGCCUUUUACGUUACAGUCUGAUGACUGUAAAGGUAUUAGUCACUUAUGAUAUACGUACUAUAAAUCCCACGCGCUUAAAGAUAAUAGAUUUUGGGUGGUUUCAGAGUAACUUUCUGCUUCAUAGAACCCGUUUGUAUUAGUUCAAGUCGUGAGUCAACUGCAAUGUAUUUCCGAUGUUUAGAUUAUAGGCAUACGACUCAUAUCUAGAUAACAGUUUGUCCUUGUAGAAAUAAGCGUCAUGUAUAGAGGGUUCCCUCACCAACAGUUACCUAUUCGAUUGAUACGGUCUCAUUCGCUUACCUGGGCCAAAUCGUAGUUUUUUUUCCCCCUUUCAAUCUUGCUACGUGAUACUUUUGCGCAAAUCACAUUGUUCCCGUUCAAUUUCUGCAUUAUUGUAAUCGAUUAAAACCAUGGAAAAAAUUCUAGCUUCAGCCGACUUAUUUGUGGGUCUUUUUGGCAUUCAGCUUGCAGGUAAUUUCUCGUUGUUACUAAUCCCACUUACGACGUCAACUAUAUCUAUGACCUUAUUUAUUCAUGAUGUGAAUCAAGUAUCGGCGUUGGCGAUUUAUUCUAAUUGGGUUUUAAAUUUUAAACGAAAUUAUUAGAUUGAAAUCGAGUUAAGUUGUGAUGAGCAUGGCUGUAUUCGCUUCGUUGAUUGGUUUCACGUUAAUAGGAUUGUAUUCUUGGAGUAUUGAUGGCUACCAGGGUUUGAUUGCAGACUGUGAAUUGUAUUCUAGCAAUUCAACGGUGAACAAUUCUACAAUGGUCAACAAUUCUACAGUAGAAAAAGUGUAUCCCGACAUUUUCAGUCCUCUCAAAAUAUGUGAGUGAUUUUUUUACAAUUUUGAGCGACCGAGAAUUUCAAUGAACAUCUCUUGUGUGUUGAAAAACUCGGGGUGACAGGGCGUCGAUUCUUUGAUGAUCGUUUGUGGUAUUCUGGCUUUUAUCAUCAACGGGUUCAUAGCUGCAACUGCUUCAUCUAUCACUUCCUAAAAUUUACUUAAAUCGAUCAUAAAUCUGAAGUACUUGGAUGUGUCUCUUGUUCAGUCCUAUACAAGUGCAUGAAUGAAAACUGUACAUAAAUUGUAAAAAAGGCACAAUUAAACAUUUGGUUUGAUUAACAAAUUUCCGUUCCAAUUUUUAUCUUGUAUAAUUUUGCUAAGAGUUUGUAUACGUUAUCUCAGUCUAACGGUUCUAAAUUGCGACAUAUUCCCUAUGUUUUCAGAGACAGGGUCUGUGUUUAAAAAUUCCUUUUAUCUCUGUUUAUGUUUAUCAUCAGACAUACUGGGCAUUACAAUCGCUUGAUAGUUUU